RNAcentral lists this non-coding RNA (49 nucleotides) under Trypanosoma brucei brucei. Lineage: Eukaryota; Euglenozoa; Kinetoplastea; Trypanosomatida; Trypanosomatidae. The record is from RNAcentral.
AAAUUUAAAACAAUAAUUUAGUUUAAGUGAGUUUGAUUGUGAUUAUAGU